UGGGGAAUCUUCCGCAAUGGACGAAAGUCUGACGGAGCAACGCCGCGUGAGUGAUGACGGUUUUCGGAUUGUAAAGCUCUUUUAAUCGGGACGAAUGGUUCGUGUGCAAAUAGUGCAUAGUCAUGACGGUACCGGAAUAGAAAGCCACGGCUUACUACGUGCCAGCAGCCGCGGUAAUACGUAGGUGGCAAGCGUUGUCCGGAAUUAUUGGGCGUAAAGCGUGAGCAGGCGGACUAGCCAAUCAGUCUUAAAAGUUCGGGGCUUAACCCCGUGAUGGGAAUGAGACUACUAGUCUAGAGUAUCGGAGAGGAAAGUGGAAUUCCUAGGGUGGCGGAGAAAUGCGUAGAUAUUAGAAAGAGCACCAGUGGGGAAGACGACUUUCUGAACGAGCACAGACGCUGAGGCGCGAAAACCAGGGGGGCGAACGGG
RNAcentral lists this ribosomal RNA (429 nucleotides) under Verrucomicrobiota bacterium. RNAcentral's name for it is "Verrucomicrobia bacterium partial 16S ribosomal RNA". It matches the Rfam family "Bacterial small subunit ribosomal RNA", at positions 355 to 776 of the family's 1533-position model. Lineage: Bacteria; Pseudomonadati; Verrucomicrobiota. The record is from RNAcentral.